GAUGAACGCUAGCGGCAGGCCUAAUACAUGCAAGACGAACGGUAAGAUUUUUAGCAAUAAGAGUCCUAGAGUGUCGUAAGGGUGCGUAACACGUAUGCAAUCUGCCCUCAACAGGAGGAUAGCUCCCCGAAAGGGGAAUUAACACUCCAUAAGAUCACAUAAUGGCAUCAUUGAGUGAUUAAAACUACGGUGGUUGAGGAUGAGCGUGCGCAUGAUUAGUUAGUUGGCGGGGUAACGGCCCACCAAGACGAUGAUCAUUAGGGGAACUGAGAGGUUGAUCCCCCACACUGGCACUGGGAUACGGGCCAGACGCCUGCGGGAGGCAGCAGUAGGGAAUAUUGGACAAUGGGUGCGAGCCUGAUCCAGCCAUGCCGCGUGCAGGAAGACGGCCUUCUGGGUUGUAAACUGCUUUUGCCAGGGGAUAAAACGUUCCUGCGGGGAUAAUUGAAGGUACCCGGUGAAUAAGCCACGGCUAACUACGUGCCAGCCGCCGCCGUAA
Molecule: ribosomal RNA, 499 nt
Filed under: uncultured bacterium
Lineage: Bacteria
Description: partial 16S ribosomal RNA
Rfam family: Bacterial small subunit ribosomal RNA
Source: RNAcentral